Molecule: long non-coding RNA, 1590 nt
Filed under: Helianthus annuus (common sunflower)
Lineage: Eukaryota; Viridiplantae; Streptophyta; Magnoliopsida; Asterales; Asteraceae
Description: hypothetical non coding rna
Source: RNAcentral
CUUCUCAAAUGAGCUAUAUAUAUAUACAGGGGCGCAGCUUUGAAGGGGCCGGGAGGGGCGCCUGACCCCCCCCGAACUUUUCGCCCAAUAGUGUUAUGUAUUUACGUUUCGUACAGAAUCUAUACUAUAUAAUAAAAGAAACCAAUGGAGGGACACUUGUCAUUAAUAAAUAAAUUUUAUAUACUAAAUAAUAAAACAAUAUAUCUUUAAAAACCUCAUUUAUUAUACGCGUUGAAUAAAUAUAAUUUUAUAUAUUAAAUAAUAAAAAGUUAUAUCUAUGAGAACAAUAUUGUACGGGUUGAAUAAAUGUAAUUGUAUAUACCAAAUAAAAAAGUUAUAUCUUUAAAACCACGUGUAUUACAUGAGUUGAAUAAAUGUACAAUUGUUUACCAAAUAAUAAAAUAAUACAUCUUUAAAAAACCUCAUUUAUAACACGGGUUGAAUAAAUGUAAUUUUAUAUAUCAAAUAAUAAAAAAUACAACUUUAAAAAUAUGCGCAUUACACGGUUUGAAUAAAUGUAAUUUUCUAUACAAAAUAAUAAAAAAUAUAUAUCCUUAAAAAACCCCGUGUAUUGUACGAAUUGAAUAAAUCUAAUUUUAUAUAUGGAAUAACAAAAAGUUAUAUCUAUAAUAAAUCUAAUUUUAUAUCUGCACUAAAUAAUAAAAAGUUUCGUAAAAUCUAUUUGAUACCAAACUAAACAAAACGUUCAAAUAUAAUUAAUUCAAAUAAAUAAUAUUAUAAAUGAGAAGGAGAUUAAACUAAAUAAAAAUUAGAGUUAAUUGCCAAAAUCGUCCAUGAGGUGAGAGUGAUGAUAAAGAUAAAAUGAAUUUUUCUGAUAGAAGGAAACAAAAAUUCCCGGUCAAAAAACUUACAGGGACAACUUCGUAAAGUUUGGAGAAGAAGAUGUAUUUUAUAUUAAUGUGGGCAUUGGGAAUAUAAUGAAUUAAAAAGGCAACUCUCUGUCAAGUCAUAAUUCACAUUUGCAGUCAAACUUUCUUAAUAGUUUUUAUUUUUGAAAGGUAACUUUCUUAAUACUUACCCAAUUUAUUUUGUUUAAUUUAUUAUAUACUACUUGUUUGUUUUAUUUAUUUUUUAGUUAUUUGUUUAUAAUUAUAAUAAGUUUAGCUUUAAGUUACUAAUAAAAUUUCGGUUCUUUUUGUUGUUGAAUAUAUUUUUAUCACAAAUCAAAUAUUAUCUAUAAAACUUAUAAAUACCUAUCUGAUAAAGUUGAUAUACCCGUUAAUAAAUAAAUGGUAAUCAUCAUGUGUUUUAGGGCUGCAAUAUAUGUGAUAUAAGUUGAAAUUAUGAGUGAAAUUGGAGCCGAAUUUUUGCUCUAAACUUGUUGAAUCUUUUUGUAAUUAUGUCUAUUUUUAUUUGUUUAAUCUUAAUGUGAUUUAGAUAGAAAUUAGAGCUUGAAACUUAGGGUGAUUUGUUAACAUGUUGUGUUAUUAGAUUAUGCUAUGGGGAAGUAUAAAAGCAUAACUUCUUUUUUUCAAAAGAAAGAAUAAAGAACAAGCAGAGGGAAUUGAUGAUGAAGAUGGACAGAACUAUAAUUUUUCAUUCAUGUGAACCGAAAUUUUAUUAGUAACU